Molecule: long non-coding RNA, 591 nt
Filed under: Mytilus galloprovincialis (Mediterranean mussel)
Lineage: Eukaryota; Metazoa; Mollusca; Bivalvia; Mytilida; Mytilidae
Source: RNAcentral
GUCUGUGCGUCCGUUCGUUCGUUCGUCCGUUCGUCCCGCGCAUCAGUUUAAAAUUUUUGGUCGAGGUAGUUUUUGAUGAAGUUGAAGUCCAAUCAACUUGAAACUUAGUACACGUGUUCCUUAUGAUAUGAUCUUUCUAAUUUGAAGGCCAAAUGAGAGAUUUCCCCCCAUUUUCACAGUCCUUUGAACAUAGAAAAUUAUAGGGCGGAUGGGGCAUCCGUGUACUAGGGACACAUUCUUGUUGCAUUAAUAAGUUUGUUGAAUUUCUUAUUUGAAUUGUUUCACAUUUGUCAAAUUGUUGUCCUUUAUACGGCAUGGUUUUGACUCGUGUUAAUCGUAUUUUCCAUUGCUUGGAUACAACUUGAUAUUUUUUUUCUGGUAAACUUGGAAAAAAUAUUAGUUGAAACUGGGGGCUUGGAAUUAACUUUGAGUAAUUUCGACUACUCUUAUAUACUUUUAUUAAGUGCUUUGUUUAUUAAGUACUUUGUUUAUUUUGUAAUUUUUAUAAUUAUUUUAUUUAGAAUGAAAUUCAAAACAGUGUGGCUGUGGCCAUUGAUUGACACAUUAAAUUCAUCCAUUGACUGGGACAAU